RNAcentral lists this ribosomal RNA (465 nucleotides) under uncultured bacterium. RNAcentral's name for it is "partial 16S ribosomal RNA". It matches the Rfam family "Bacterial small subunit ribosomal RNA", at positions 28 to 507 of the family's 1533-position model. The record is from RNAcentral.
GACGAACGCUGGCGGCGUGCUUAACACAUGCAAGUCGUACGGUAAGGCCCUUUCGGGGGUACACGAGUGGCGCACGGGUGAGUAACACGUGAGUAACCUGCCCACAACUUUGGGAUAACGCUAGGAAACUGGUGCUAAUACUGGAUAUGUGCUCCUGCUGCAUGGUGGGGGUCGGAAAGCUCCGGCGGUUGUGGAUGGACUCGCGGCCUAUCAGCUUGUUGGUGGGGUAGUGGCCUACCAAGGCGGCGACGGGUAGCCGGCCUGAGAGGGUGACCGGCCACAUUGGGACUGAGAUACGGCCCAGACUCCUACGGGAGGCAGCAGUGGGGAAUAUUGCACAAUGGGCGCAAGCCUGAUGCAGCAACGCCGCGUGCGGGAUGACGGCCUUCGGGUUGUAAACCGCUUUCAGCAGGGACGAAGCUUUUUGUGACGGUACCUGCAGAAGAAGCACCGGCUAACUACGUG